GUUUCCCCUAUCAGGGCUGUCUCGCCACGGAGGAUCUUAUUUUGAUAACUGAGCGUUUUGAGCAUCGUCUCUGGCCCUGUGAGUUAGAGUUUCUCAAACUCCUUCUUGGAAUGAGGUGCGAUACAAGCAAACAGACGCACGAGUGGCCUUACAAACACCUCCGCGGCAGUCGGACGAGGGACACCCCCACCCCGACCCCACGGCCUCCCAUACACCCGGGUUCUUGGACAAUAUCUGCGUCCAUAAAGAUUCAUCCAGGGCGCUGCCCAGCCCCUAAAAUGAUGCUCUCUCGUUCUUUCUGCUUGGGGAUCUGCUCCUGACUGCCUUAAUCUCCAAGGCCAGCUGCCUCGAGAAAUAACAUCACAUUUCCCCACGGACCUCACUUCCCCUCCGUAUAAGUCACACUGGGGCAAGAGCUGAAAAUUAUGGCUGUUUCAUAAAUCGGUAACGUGCUUGGAAGAUGGGGGCCCAGCUGCAGAGCACAUGAGUUCAGGCUCCUGCCCCAGCCUCAUGUUUCACGAUGACCUCAGCUUCCUGUGUCAAUGGGAACCCAUGCGAGCUUUAUGGCACCUUUGAAGAAACAAAAGCUUUACAGAGAAAAGGCUGGUUUGGCAGAGGAGCCUGGCUUCCCCCCUUCAGCCCACUUUCCUGUGUUCCUGGAGCUUUUCUCUCUUUCAGCAAACAAAGCGCUUCUAGGUGCUGAACGGAGGCUGCAUCUCCUCUCCUCUCUCCUCUCUCCUUGCUUCUCUCCCCCAUCUCUUGGAUACUUCUGGAAAAACGAACAUUUUACGAAUGCCAUGUGUGCUGCUGGGUGCUUGGUCUCCCCCUUUUUCUCUGUCCCCCUCUUUCUCCCCCCAUUCUCCCUGUCUCUCUCCCCCCGCUUCUAUCUUGUUCUCCAUCUCUCCCCCUCUCUCCCCACCUCUCUCUUCCCCCCUCCCUGUUUCUCCCUGAUGUAAUGUCUCUGAGUUUGUCUGGCUCCAGCUGUCCUCCUGCGAAACGGAGAGGAAGCAAGGGGGGCGGUCAGUUUGAGAAGACGAUCUUGACGUUAUUCAUAAGACCCCAUUUCGUUCCAGCAGCUUUGUCGAACCCACGAUAGGAUAGCGGGGCUUCAAUGGAUUCUCUCGCUUGAUGGAUCAAAUUUAGUUUUCUCCUGGCUGUUCUUCAUGGGGAGACAUUUGAAAUCUGCAGGCAGACAGAGCCAACUGGGCAGAAAGUUUGGAAUUCUGAAAUGCUGCUGAAUUAAGUCAGGGACCGGCUUAGCUAAUUUGCUGAUUUACUCAACUUGACCCAAAUGAAUUUCUGUGUAAACGAAAUUUAUGAAGAAGUCUCUGAAUAAUUCUAUUAAAUGAAAUGCCAGGCUUUUAUUUUCCAUUUUAUGACAUUUUCUGAACACUGUGUAUUCCAAUCAUAUUGAAACAUUUUGUUUUCAGGCUCUGUAGAAAGUGCUGAUGGUUGAACCUCAAAAGAAUUGAAGGGUUAGUUCAUAAAUGAAUAAAAAGCCAGCGGCAUUUAUCCA
This 1516-nucleotide long non-coding RNA is filed under the name Vulpes vulpes (red fox). RNAcentral describes it as "lncRNA (ENSVVUG00000005495.1)". The record is from RNAcentral. Lineage: Eukaryota; Metazoa; Chordata; Mammalia; Carnivora; Canidae.